GGAACAGCUGCUGCCUGGCCUGGAGCAGAGCGGGCCUCCCUUCCUGCGUCUCUAACUGCACAGCAGGGACUUCCAGCUGGGGAAGGACAUUGUGAACAACAUCACAGACAGCCACUACAGCAGCCACCACACCCUGUGUGUGAUGAGUCAUCACUACCUGCACAGUAACUGAUGCUCCCUGGAGCUGUGACUGGCCACCCUGCGUCUGCUGGUGGAGCACAGUGUAGCUAUUGUCGUCGGGAGAAGGAGAAGAGGACCAAGAUGCAGCGUGGAUCAUCGACCAAGCUCAUCAUCGCCAUUGACUUGGCCAAGGGCAUGGAAUACCUGCACAACCUCACCCAGCCUAUCAUCCACAGGGACCACAACAAGUCAAUGCGGAAGUCAUAUUCUACUCAAUGAGGAUGGACAUGACGUGGUGGCCAACUUUGGAGAAUCCAAGUUCCUGUCACCUGAGGUUGUGGACAAUAUGACCAAGCAGCCCGGGGUUAGUCCAACUUCCUUAUUCACCAUACUAUAAAUUACUUCAUAAUGUGAAUUAGGACCUGGAGGAAACUGCACUCAG
This is a long non-coding RNA of Oncorhynchus tshawytscha (Chinook salmon), 562 nucleotides long. The record is from Ensembl. Lineage: Eukaryota; Metazoa; Chordata; Actinopteri; Salmoniformes; Salmonidae.